This 406-nucleotide ribosomal RNA is filed under the name uncultured bacterium. Its description in RNAcentral is "partial 16S ribosomal RNA". It matches the Rfam family "Bacterial small subunit ribosomal RNA", at positions 30 to 526 of the family's 1533-position model. The record is from RNAcentral.
AUUGAACGCUGGCGGCAGGCCUAACACAUGCAAGUCGAACGAGUGGCGGACGGGUGAGUAAUGUCUGGGAAACUGCCUGAUGGAGGGGGAUAACUACUGGAAACGGUAGCUGAUACCGCAUACCAUCAGAUGUACCCAGAUGGGAUUAGCUAGUUGGUGGGGUAACGGCUCACCAAGGCGACGAUCCCUAGCUGGUGUGAGAGGAUGACCAGCAACACUGGAACUGAGACACGGUCCAGCCUCCUACGGGAGGCAGCAGUGGGGAAUAUUGUACAAGGGGCGCAAGCCUGAUGCAGCCAUGCCGCGGGGAGGAAGAAGGCCUUCGGGUUGUAAAGUACUUUCAGCGGGGAGGCGUUACCCGCAGAAGAAGCACCGGCUAACUACGUGCCAGCAGCCGCGGUAAUUC